GAUGAACGCUAGCGGCAGGCCUAAUACAUGCAAGUCGAACGAGAUUAAGAGGCUUGCUUCUUAUGAAAGUGGCGCACGGGUGCGUAACGCGUAUGCAACCUACCUUAAUCAGGGGGAUAGCCCGAAGAAAUUCGGAUUAAGACCGCAUAAAAACACAGGAUAGCAUUAUCCAAUGUUCAAAUAUUUAUAGGAUUAAGAUGGGCAUGCGUGUCAUUAGCUAGUUGGCGGGGUAACGGCCCACCAAGGCGACGAUGACUAGGGGAUCUGAGAGGAUGACCCCCCACACUGGUACUGAGACACGGACCAGACUCCUACGGGGGGCAGCAGUAAGGAAUAUUGGUCAAUGGAGGGAACUCUGAACCAGCCAUGCCGCGUGCAGGAAGACAGCCCUCUGGGUCGUAAACUGCUUUUAUUCGGGAAUAAACCUUUCUACGUGUAGGAAGCUGAAUGUACCGAAGGAAUAAGGAUCGGCUAACUCCGUG
This 482-nucleotide ribosomal RNA is filed under the name uncultured bacterium. RNAcentral's name for it is "partial 16S ribosomal RNA". It matches the Rfam family "Bacterial small subunit ribosomal RNA", at positions 28 to 507 of the family's 1533-position model. The record is from RNAcentral.